UCGUUUCUAAGACCAUCAUUAUCGGGACUUCUUAACAAAGUCCUUAGUAAUAAUGGGCCCAAAAAUAAAUCAAAAAUGUGCAAUUAACUGAAGGACGUCCUUAGCUUAGAAGUUUUCUUAGACGUCCUUAAGGACACGUGUUGCCCAUUCACGUCUCUUUCUCUCUCUCCAGAAAUCAACUCUGCCUCUCUCCUUCGACGAUCUCUCCUUGGCUCUGCUCAUCCUCUCCAUGAAUUCCUCCAAAGCUUGCUUCUUCCACUCUCUUCUUCGACCCAUCUAGCUUCCCCAGUCCUCCUAUGGCGUCUUCUCAAAACACUUAAUUUUGUCCCACUGAUGAGGUUCCUUUUCGAUAACAUCAACAUCGAGCCUUUGAUGACUUAAACAAAGUUUUUGCAGGUGAAGCUUGUGACAAGAAGGACCUGUUGAUUGAGGCUACUACUCAGAUCAGAACGUUGCUUUGUAGUGGUAGUCAUCCUGUUUAAUUUAGUUUUGCUAGACUGCACUGUAAUGUGAUCCCUUUGUGUAUUGUGUGUAUACAUGUUCAUCUUGUCGUAUUGUGUAUUGUGUAUUGUGUGUAUUUUGUGUGUAUUGUGUGUGUUCUGUAUCCAAUCAUUCAACUUCUAAAAAAAUAAUCUAAGGACUCAAAACAAGUCCUACCAAUAAUCUACACUAAUUUAUAAGUC
This is a long non-coding RNA of Raphanus sativus (radish), 683 nucleotides long. RefSeq lists it as uncharacterized. The transcript is spliced from 3 exons. The record is from RefSeq and is a predicted model, not a curated record. NCBI's taxonomy places the organism in Eukaryota, Viridiplantae, Streptophyta, Magnoliopsida, Brassicales, Brassicaceae.